Molecule: long non-coding RNA, 804 nt
Organism: Solea senegalensis (Senegalese sole)
Lineage: Eukaryota; Metazoa; Chordata; Actinopteri; Pleuronectiformes; Soleidae
Exons: 3
Source: RefSeq, a predicted model, not a curated record
CACAAAUGGAGACAGAGAGGACGGAGGCAGAGAUAGUGACUGCAGAGGGGAGACAAGAGCAUGUUACAGGAUUAUGUUAGAUUAGGGCAGUAAGCGGCGAUGUAGCAUUUAAUUAAAGAAAAUAGGUCAGACCACAUGAGAAAACAAGAACACUCAGAGAGUGCAGACGUCCAACUGGAUUAAAGACUUUGUCACCUGUGCUUUUCAAAACCGGCACCUGAUUUUUUUUACAUUCUUAUCCACUGGCUCCAGAAGACCUUCUCACUUUUAUCGUCAAGACUUCGCUGAUAUAUACACAUCUGAAUUUUAAAUUGCCACCAAAUCCAUAAUCUGAAACAGAUCUAGUCUGAUCCUGCAAAUACAAAAAAAUUCUGUUCAAAUCCAUUGAGUUUUGACAGGGAACUGGGUUGUGUUUUGUUUUUUUACAGUUUUGCUCAUUAAGAGAUGGGGAUUUCUUGGAAAUUUGAUGUCAUCGUGUGGGUACAUUCAGAUUCAGAUUGAUCCGCCAAUAAUUGUGGACAGGAAGUUGCCAACAGAGGGAAAACAUAACCUCCUUGGUGGAGGUUUUUAAUGUCGUCACACCUUACAGGAAACAAAUCGACAUAAUGCCAUUUGAGACUUUAUCUGCAGAGGAAGAAUGAAUUCAGUUUGGAUUAAAACAAGAGAGACAAAGACCACUGCCGAACAACCAACAUCAUCCAUCCAUCCAUCCAUCCUUCAUCUACACGGAAUUCAUCCUACAGAAAUCCAUGGCCUGGCUCCAGACGACAUCAGAGAACUUUGGACCUCGGUCUCUUCAGCCCG